AUUGAACGCUGGCGGCAGGCUUAACACAUGCAAGUCGAGCGGGGGAAGGUAGCUUGCUACCGGACCUAGCGGCGGACGGGUGAGUAAUGCUUAGGAAUCUGCCUAUUAGUGGGGGACAACAUCUCGAAAGGGAUGCUAAUACCGCAUACGUCCUACGGGAGAAAGCAGGGGAUCUUCGGACCUUGCGCUAAUAGAUGAGCCUAAGUCGGAUUAGCUAGUUGGUGGGGUAAAGGCCUACCAAGGCGACGAUCUGUAGCGGGUCUGAGAGGAUGAUCCGCCACACUGGGACUGAGACACGGCCCAGACUACUACGGGAGGCAGCAGUGGGGAAUAUUGGACAAUGGGGGGAACCCUGAUCCAGCCAGGCCGCGUGUGUGAAGAAGGCCUUAUGGUUGUAAAGCACAUUAAGCGAGGAGGAGGCUACUUUAGUUAAUACCGAGAGAUAGUGAACGUUACUCGCAGAAUAAGCACCGGCUAACUCUGUG
This 485-nucleotide ribosomal RNA is filed under the name uncultured bacterium. Its description in RNAcentral is "partial 16S ribosomal RNA". It matches the Rfam family "Bacterial small subunit ribosomal RNA", at positions 30 to 507 of the family's 1533-position model. The record is from RNAcentral.